AUGGUAUCCGGGUGCUUUCUGCGGGCAGCAAGGAUCCUACCUGAGAUAUUCCAGCUGCCUCUUGUCCUGAAGGAGGUGGAGACCAUUUUCCCCCAGCCCUUCCUGGCCCUCCUCUUGCAAGCGUCCUUCACCACGGAGCAGACGGAGCAGGAGGUGGAAAUCUUCUGGGUGGAGCACCAGCAGGGCCAGCUCACUCCCAGCAGGUGCCACAUCCCCACCCCCCCCUGCACCCAGGGACUCAGUGUUGGGGCUCCCGCUGCGACUCGCACCGUUCUCCUCCCGCAGGUCCGCGGUGCGGGCCUUGAAGCUGCUGCUCUGCAGCGGGGCGGCUGGGACGCGCUUCUCAGCGCCGUGACCCACCUCCAGGGUGUGCAGGUGGUGGCCAGGGUGAUGAGGGAACUGCCUGGAGCUCUGCGUGCCCCCAUCUUCCACCAGCUGGUUGAGCUGCUCAGCAACAGCUUUUACUCCUGGGAGAUGGUGGCCAUAGUCUUCCUCACUGAGGCAAGGACAAUGCUCAUCUUCCUGCAGUGCAUCACAGAGCAGCUGCAGGAUGCAGACAGCGACGCCCAUGCCAUUGUACUGCCAAUACUCAGCAACCUGCUGCAGCUCCUGGAGGGCGAUGAGCUCAGCCUCAUGGCUCUGGAGCUGGCCAGCAAGCUCCCAGCGCUCUUUAAUGAGAUAAGGAUGGGAGGGAGCCCAGCACACUAAGGAUUUGGCAACGACCCCAGUGUGCCCAUGCCUGCUGCCCUGUGACAGCACACCAGGGAACUUCCUGGCUGGUCGCCUGUUCCAGGCUCUGUGUGUCCCUGGGCAGACUUCCUGCAGGGCAGAGCUUGUGCACUUUGGAGCAGUUUUGGGGCCAUCCUCAAGAUCUGCCUGCAGCCUCUCAGCUCAGAGAUUCUGCUCCCAUGUGGUUGGCGGUGCUGGCCCUGCUCCGUUGGGCUUGGAGCUGCUGACACUGACAUCCUUCCCUCCUCCUCCACAGGAGUCCAGCACGGUGUGGCAGCUCUCCAUCCACCUCUUCCUCGAAACGCUGAGCUUUGUGGAGGGCACAGGAAAGAGGAAGAUGAGGAAGGAGGUGUACAGGAGCCUGGUCCUGCUGCAUUUGCACCUGCACAAUGAGGAAGAGAGCGUGGUCGAGGUGGGAAUUGCGUUCAUUUGGGGGAGGGCGAUGCUGGCCCCGUGGUGCCCCCCAAACACCAAGAGUAUUGCAGCCGGUGGCAGCGUCAGCCCCUGCUGCUGCAUCCUCCCUGCGGAGGGGCUCUGGGGGCUCUGGAGGGGCUCUGCAAGCACACAGCUGUCAUCGUGCCUCUGUUCCUCUGUUACCUCAGGCCUUCAGAGAGUGCAGCAUGACCCCAGUCCAUCCGUCUCUUUGCUGGCCCUUCAGACACUGAAGAUCCUGAAGGAAACGAGGCCACCUCCACCACCGAGAGACUCUGGGCAGCGCUCCUCCAGGCUCCGCAGCGCGUGGAGGAGGUGCUGCUCCUCCCAGGCAGACAGCUGAGCACCCUGGAAAGCUCCCGGCAUCUCCUCCUGCCCGCUGCUCAGCUCCGCUCCUCGGGCACAUCCCUUCCCCGUUGCUGUGCCGCUCCUCAGCCCGCGGUGCCAGCUACUUCAGCACCAUUGCCUGUCUUCUCUCGGUGGGAAACGGGAAAACAACCCAGGAGAUCAGCACUGCCCGGAGAGGGACGGGACGUGCAGCGCUCCCUGCCAGCACCACACGCUUUCGGUCACUGCCAGCAAAGCACCAGCUGCUCUGCCGGGCUGCAAAACGGGAUGAUUAAUAAAGCUGGUGAAUUUUACA
Long non-coding RNA from Numida meleagris (helmeted guineafowl), 1804 nucleotides. Lineage: Eukaryota; Metazoa; Chordata; Aves; Galliformes; Numididae. The record is from Ensembl.